GUCAAAGUUUUUAUGGCUAAUAUUAUAUAUCACUUAUUUGAUCAGUUUAAAGCUUACAUUGACACUAUCAAGGAAGAAAAAAGGAAGGAAGUUGCUUAAGAAGCAGUCCUCCCCUGUGUGCUCAAGAUCGUACCAAAUUGUGUCUUCAAGAAGAAGGAUCCAAUUGUUCUGGGAGUUGAUGUUCUUAAGGGCAUUUUCAGGAAAGAUUGAGGAGCUUGAAUUGAAGAAGAAGCAACAAGAAACCAAAGCUAUUGAAACUUCAAGGAAAGCUAUUCCAUCAAUGGAAAAGUGCAAGAAACAAUUAAUGAU
Long non-coding RNA from Solanum tuberosum (potato), 309 nucleotides. RefSeq lists it as uncharacterized. Lineage: Eukaryota; Viridiplantae; Streptophyta; Magnoliopsida; Solanales; Solanaceae. The record is from RefSeq and is a predicted model, not a curated record. The transcript has 3 exons.